ACUUCUCAUAGAGGUGUUGCAGGUAUGUCUGCUAUGUCACUUGUAUGCAAGUAUGUGGCAGAGAAGAGAGAAGUUAUGUCUACACUUACUGUUCUGAUCCAUGAAUAUCUGAACAAUUAGUAGCCCAACUUG
Apodemus sylvaticus (European woodmouse) is the source of this 132-nucleotide small nucleolar RNA. RefSeq annotates it as small nucleolar RNA SNORA17. The transcript has a single exon. NCBI's taxonomy places the organism in Eukaryota, Metazoa, Chordata, Mammalia, Rodentia, Muridae. The record is from RefSeq and is a predicted model, not a curated record.